Molecule: ribosomal RNA, 207 nt
Filed under: uncultured bacterium
Lineage: Bacteria
Description: partial 16S ribosomal RNA
Rfam family: Bacterial small subunit ribosomal RNA
Source: RNAcentral
CGCGUAGGCGGUUUUUUAAGUCAGAUGUGAAAUCCCUGGGCUUAACCCUGGAAGUGCAUUUGAUACUAUGAAACUUGAGUAUGGGAGAGGGAAACGGAAUUCCUGGUGUAGCGGUGAAAUGCGUAGAUAUCAGGAGGAACACCGGUGGCGAAGGCGGUUUCCUGGACCAAUACUGACGCUGAGGCGCGAAGGCGUGGGGAGCAAACA